Non-coding RNA from Odocoileus virginianus texanus, 1434 nucleotides. The record is from RefSeq and is a predicted model, not a curated record. NCBI's taxonomy places the organism in Eukaryota, Metazoa, Chordata, Mammalia, Artiodactyla, Cervidae.
CUGCUGUGGUGGCAGCGACGACGGCGGGAGACUGGAGACGCAGGGUCGGAACUGCGUGGUGGGCGGGGCCCGGCCUUGUGCAGGGUCCGGCAGAUACUAGAAUGUGUCCCUCCAGCUGGGCCUGAGGCGUCCGAGUCAACCGUGGAGGAAAACGAAGAUGACAUCCAGUUUGUGAGUGUAAGUAGCAGCGGUAUUUGGGUUUUUCCGAGUCAGGGUUUGUGCGUGACGAGCCGCGAUGUGAUUACCCCUCGCCUGUUCACUCUUCGUCCGGCAAACGUGUGGACGUCUCAUACCGACUGGAGACUGAGGAGCAGGACACAGGAGUGGGUGUCAGACCGGACACCGUGGAGCAGGCACAGGAGUAGAGCGUUUGCCCACAGAGAGAUCUCGGCCGCCCCCGCAGCCAUCGCAGAGACUGUGGCCUUUGGCCUGUUGGAGCCUGGAUCACACCUUCCCCUCUCCUUUGCACGUGGACCCGCUGGUGUGCGCAGGGUUCUCCUAAGACUGUGUUUGAAUUGAGACCAGAGUAACUUCUGAAAGAUGGCCCCCAGGUUGGGGAGAAGGGGCAGCUAGUGAUGAGGAAGGAGGUAGAAGAGAAGGAGGCGGGCUGCCGGAGGUCAGCAUCAGAGCCUGUGUGUGUCUGUAGGGUGGGGGCAGGUGCCCUGAAGACCUCACUGAGCUCUGAGCUCACCCUGCUACAUCACAGUCCCGCAGGCCAGGUUCACAGUGAGGGGCCUGCAUCACAGGAGCAUCCUGUUAUCUUUCUGUGUUUAUUUCCUUCUGACAGUUUUCAAGCAUGAGUGAGUGGAAGUGUGCAGAAUCCUGCUCCCCACUCCAGACCUAUGGAAUCAGGAUUUGUAGGUGGGGCCCAGGAAUCUUCAUGUUGGUUCAGGGGUGUAGGAAGCUGUGAACACAGUUAGUAAAACAUUAGUUGCAAUAACCAAAGGGGGUGUUGUGAUAUAUUUCAGGAUAAUUUCCAUCCCCAACUUUUUUUUUCCCAAACUGUUACAAAGUCUCUAUUUAAAGUAGUAUCUUAAUUAGCUAGAGAAUGUGUCUACUGUGAACUACUCUUUUUGAAUAUUAUAGUUAGUUGAGGUUUGCUAUUAAAAAUGUAUAGUCUUUCUUGAACUGGGUUCCUGUUAACCCAGAAACACAAUGUUUGUGUGUUUCUUAGUUGCUGUAGACUUAGGGCAGCCAUGUAAAUGACUUGGUUUUAAAUCAAACAAAAUUCCCUCUCUAAGGAUUGUGGUAACUUUGGUUUUGUUGUUUUCUUAGGGUUAUAUAGAAAUUCUUUACCAGACCAUUUCUUUUACAUUCUUCCCCAAAAUCAUUCAUGUGAUACUCUUCUUGACACUUGGAACUUUGCGGUACCAAGAACUAUAUGCUGACUUCGCCUCCCCAUGUGGUGAGGAAUAAAUGAUGUAGCUGUGGAAA